Molecule: transfer RNA, 75 nt
Filed under: Actinomycetes bacterium
Lineage: Bacteria; Bacillati; Actinomycetota; Actinomycetes
Also listed under: 4 other names
Description: tRNA-Arg
Rfam family: tRNA
About the family: Transfer RNA (tRNA) molecules are approximately 80 nucleotides in length. Their secondary structure includes four short double-helical elements and three loops (D, anti-codon, and T loops).
Source: RNAcentral
GCCCCCGUAGCUCAGGGGAUAGAGCAUCGGCCUCCGGAGCCGUGUGCGCAGGUUCGAAUCCUGCCGGGGGCACCA